Molecule: ribosomal RNA, 253 nt
Filed under: uncultured bacterium
Lineage: Bacteria
Description: partial 16S ribosomal RNA
Rfam family: Bacterial small subunit ribosomal RNA
Source: RNAcentral
UACGUAGGUGGCAAGCGUUGUCCGGAUUUACUGGGCGUAAAGAGCGCGCAGGCGGUCAAGUAAGUCGAAUGUGAAAGCCCCCGGCUCAACUGGGGAGGGUCAUUCGAUACUGCUCGACUCGAAGGCAGGAGAGGGAAGUGGAAUUCCCGGUGUAGUGGUGAAAUGCGUAGAUAUCGGGAGGAACACCAGUGGCGAAGGCGACUUUCUGGCCUGUUCUUGACGCUGAGGCGCGAAAGCUAGGGGAGCAAACGGG